UUAAGCGACUAAGCGUACACGGUGGAUGCCCUGGCAGUCAGAGGCGAUGAAGGACGUGCUAAUCUGCGAUAAGCGUCGGUAAGGUGAUAUGAACCGUUAUAACCGGCGAUUUCCGAAUGGGGAAACCCAGUGUGAUUCGUCACACUAUCAUUAACUGAAUCCAUAGGUUAAUGAGGCGAACCGGGGGAACUGAAACAUCUAAGUACCCCGAGGAAAAGAAAUCAACCGAGAUUCCCCCAGUAGCGGCGAGCGAACGGGGAGCAGCCCAGAGCCUGAAUCAGUGUGUGUGUUAGUGGAAGCGUCUGGAAAGGCGUGCGAUACAGGGUGACAGCCCCGUACACAAAAAUGCACAUGCUGUGAGCUCGAUGAGUAGGGCGGGACACGUGGUAUCCUGUCUGAAUAUGGGGGGACCAUCCUCCAAGGCUAAAUACUCCUGACUGACCGAUAGUGAACCAGUACCGUGAGGGAAAGGCGAAAAGAACCCCGGCGAGGGGAGUGAAAAAGAACCUGAAACCGUGUACGUACAAGCAGUGGGAGCACAGAGCAAUCUGUGUGACUGCGUACCUUUUGUAUAAUGGGUCAGCGACUUAUAUUCUGUAGCAAGGUUAACCGAAUAGGGGAGCCGAAGGGAAACCGAGUCUUAACUGGGCGUUAAGUUGCAGGGUAUAGACCCGAAACCCGGUGAUCUAGCCAUGGGCAGGUUGAAGGUUGGGUAACACUAACUGGAGGACCGAACCGACUAAUGUUGAAAAAUUAGCGGAUGACUUGUGGCUGGGGGUGAAAGGCCAAUCAAACCGGGAGAUAGCUGGUUCUCCCCGAAAGCUAUUUAGGUAGCGCCUCGUGAAUUCAUCUCCGGGGGUAGAGCACUGUUUCGGCAAGGGGGUCAUCCCGACUUACCAACCCGAUGCAAACUGCGAAUACCGGAGAAUGUUAUCACGGGAGACACACGGCGGGUGCUAACGUCCGUCGUGAAGAGGGAAACAACCCAGACCGCCAGCUAAGGUCCCAAAGUCAUGGUUAAGUGGGAAACGAUGUGGGAAGGCCCAGACAGCCAGGAUGUUGGCUUAGAAGCAGCCAUCAUUUAAAGAAAGCGUAAUAGCUCACUGGUCGAGUCGGCCUGCGCGGAAGAUGUAACGGGGCUAAACCAUGCACCGAAGCUGCGGCAGCGACGCUUAUGCGUUGUUGGGUAGGGGAGCGUUCUGUAAGCCUGCGAAGGUGUGCUGUGAGGCAUGCUGGAGGUAUCAGAAGUGCGAAUGCUGACAUAAGUAACGAUAAAGCGGGUGAAAAGCCCGCUCGCCGGAAGACCAAGGGUUCCUGUCCAACGUUAAUCGGGGCAGGGUGAGUCGACCCCUAAGGCGAGGCCGAAAGGCGUAGUCGAUGGGAAACAGGUUAAUAUUCCUGUACUUGGUGUUACUGCGAAGGGGGACGGAGAAGGCUAUGUUGGCCGGGCGACGGUUGUCCCGGUUUAAGCGUGUAGGCUGGUUUUCCAGGCAAAUCCGGAAAAUCAAGGCUGAGGCGUGAUGACGAGGCACUACGGUGCUGAAGCAACAAAUGCCCUGCUUCCAGGAAAAGCCUCUAAGCAUCAGGUAACAUCAAAUCGUACCCCAAACCGACACAGGUGGUCAGGUAGAGAAUACCAAGGCGCUUGAGAGAACUCGGGUGAAGGAACUAGGCAAAAUGGUGCCGUAACUUCGGGAGAAGGCACGCUGAUAUGUAGGUGAAGUCCCUCGCGGAUGGAGCUGAAAUCAGUCGAAGAUACCAGCUGGCUGCAACUGUUUAUUAAAAACACAGCACUGUGCAAACACGAAAGUGGACGUAUACGGUGUGACGCCUGCCCGGUGCCGGAAGGUUAAUUGAUGGGGUCAGCGCAAGCGAAGCUCUUGAUCGAAGCCCCGGUAAACGGCGGCCGUAACUAUAACGGUCCUAAGGUAGCGAAAUUCCUUGUCGGGUAAGUUCCGACCUGCACGAAUGGCGUAAUGAUGGCCAGGCUGUCUCCACCCGAGACUCAGUGAAAUUGAACUCGCUGUGAAGAUGCAGUGUACCCGCGGCAAGACGGAAAGACCCCGUGAACCUUUACUAUAGCUUGACACUGAACAUUGAGCCUUGAUGUGUAGGAUAGGUGGGAGGCUUUGAAGUGUGGACGCCAGUCUGCAUGGAGCCGACCUUGAAAUACCACCCUUUAAUGUUUGAUGUUCUAACGUUGACCCGUAAUCCGGGUUGCGGACAGUGUCUGGUGGGUAGUUUGACUGGGGCGGUCUCCUCCUAAAGAGUAACGGAGGAGCACGAAGGUUGGCUAAUCCUGGUCGGACAUCAGGAGGUUAGUGCAAUGGCAUAAGCCAGCUUGACUGCGAGCGUGACGGCGCGAGCAGGUGCGAAAGCAGGUCAUAGUGAUCCGGUGGUUCUGAAUGGAAGGGCCAUCGCUCAACGGAUAAAAGGUACUCCGGGGAUAACAGGCUGAUACCGCCCAAGAGUUCAUAUCGACGGCGGUGUUUGGCACCUCGAUGUCGGCUCAUCACAUCCUGGGGCUGAAGUAGGUCCCAAGGGUAUGGCUGUUCGCCAUUUAAAGUGGUACGCGAGCUGGGUUUAGAACGUCGUGAGACAGUUCGGUCCCUAUCUGCCGUGGGCGCUGGAGAAUUGAGGGGGGCUGCUCCUAGUACGAGAGGACCGGAGUGGACGCAUCACUGGUGUUCGGGUUGUCAUGCCAAUGGCACUGCCCGGUAGCUAAAUGCGGAAGAGAUAAGUGCUGAAAGCAUCUAAGCACGAAACUUGCCCCGAGAUGAGUUCUCCCUGACUCCUUGAGAGUCCUGAAGGAACGUUGAAGACGACGACGUUGAUAGGCCGGGUGUGUAAGCGCAGCGAUGCGUUGAGCUAACCGGUACUAAUGAACCGUGAGGCUUAACCU
Molecule: ribosomal RNA, 2902 nt
Filed under: Escherichia coli
Lineage: Bacteria; Pseudomonadati; Pseudomonadota; Gammaproteobacteria; Enterobacterales; Enterobacteriaceae
Description: 23S ribosomal RNA
Rfam family: Bacterial large subunit ribosomal RNA
Source: RNAcentral